ACAUACAUUGUUUAGUGGAUAGGACGGAGGUUUUCUAAACCUUUGGUAUAGGUUUAAAUCCUAUUGAAUGCA
RNAcentral lists this transfer RNA (72 nucleotides) under Turnera subulata. It matches the Rfam family "tRNA". Rfam says of the family: Transfer RNA (tRNA) molecules are approximately 80 nucleotides in length. Their secondary structure includes four short double-helical elements and three loops (D, anti-codon, and T loops). The record is from Rfam by way of RNAcentral. Lineage: Eukaryota; Viridiplantae; Streptophyta; Magnoliopsida; Malpighiales; Passifloraceae.